UACGGGGGGGAGCAAGCGUUGUUCGGAUUACUGGGCGUAAAGGGCGCGUAGGCGGUCGUGACAAGUCACUUGUGAAAUCUCCGGGCUUAACUCGGAACGGUCAAGUGAUACUGUCGGACUAGAGUACAGAAGGGGCAACUGGAAUUCUCGGUGUAGCGGUGAAAUGCGUAGAUAUCGAGAGGAACACCUGCGGCGAAGGCGGGUUGCUGGGCUGAUACUGACGCUGAGGAGCGAAAGCGUGGGGAGCGAACAGG
RNAcentral lists this ribosomal RNA (254 nucleotides) under uncultured bacterium. RNAcentral describes it as "partial 16S ribosomal RNA". It matches the Rfam family "Bacterial small subunit ribosomal RNA", at positions 524 to 776 of the family's 1533-position model. The record is from RNAcentral.